This 1878-nucleotide long non-coding RNA is filed under the name Oryctolagus cuniculus (rabbit). RNAcentral's name for it is "lncRNA (ENSOCUG00000032684.1)". Lineage: Eukaryota; Metazoa; Chordata; Mammalia; Lagomorpha; Leporidae. The record is from RNAcentral.
CCUGGGCAGGCAUAUAAAGGGCCCAGCAGGGGGAGGCACCACACAGACACCUCCCUCUGCACCUGCUCCUGCGACCACUCCACUCCACCUCCAGAACCAUGGGCUGCUCUGGCUGUUCCGGGGGCUGCGGCUCCAGCUGUGGGGGCUGCGGCUCCAGCUGCUGUGUGCCCGUGUGCUGCUGCAAGCCCGUGUGCUGCUGUGUGCCCGCCUGCUCCUCCAGCUGUGGCUCCUGUGGGGGCUGUGGCUCGUGUGGGGGCUCCAAGGGGGGCUGUGGCUCGUGUGGGGGCUCCAAGGGAGGCUGUGGCUCCUGUGGGGGCUCCAAGGGGGGCUGUGGCUCCUGUGGGGGCUCCAAGGGGGGCUGUGGCUCCUGUGGGGGCUCCAAGGGGGGCUGUGGCUCCUGUGGGGGCUCCAAGGGGGGCUGUGGCUCCUGUGGGGGCUCCAAGGGCGGCUGUGGCUCCUGUGGGGGCUCCAAGGGGGGCUGUGGCUCCUGUGGCUGCUGUCAGUCCAGCUGUUGCAAACCCUGCUGCUGCCAGUCCAGCUGUUGCAAACCCUGCUGCUCCCAGUCCAGCUGCUGUGUGCCCGUGUGCUGCCAGUGCAAGGUCUGAGGAUGCUUGUCCCGGGCCUCAGGAGGCCCACGUGCAGGCCCUGAUACAUCCUCAACACCAGAAGCAGAACUCCAAGCCCACACCUGGCUUCACCUUAGAGUCACUCUCGUGGUCCCUCCUCCUCACCCCUGUAGUGUCCUGGGUGAGGGUCCCCUCCCCUGCCUGUCCCAAGCCACACCUCCAGCAGGGACCAAAGGGACCACAGUCACUUGGUGCUCCGUCCUCCACCAGUCCUGACAGCGCUUUGUCCCUGCAGGAUGCCGCAGCCCCGCCCACACGCACACCCACACCUGAGGAGCCCUCCCAGGAGACCCCUCCCCAGUGCUGGGGGCUGCCCCCAGGCUGCCUGUGGGUACCCUCUCUGGAAAGUUCUCUGUGUUGUUCCCUGUCUGCCAGCAGCCUGCCCUGGGGCCUCCUCCUCCCUGUGGUUCAUGGCUCCUCACCUGAGCUGCCCCCCCACACUCCUCUCUGUCUCACAGCGGGAUUCUUUGUUUGCUCAAAGAACCAAACCUGCUGGCAUCAAUGGACCGGACCCCCUCCAACCCCAGGGGUCCUUAGAGCAAGCGGCAGGGGUCUUGGAAAGGAAGCAGCCCUGUUUUCCCUGCGGCCGGCAGGAGCCCCAGGCUGCCCAGCCCCCUUGCGGCCUCCCUGCUGGAGCAGUUUCCUUGCAUGUGCACGCCCUCCUCCCUCGCGGGGAGCGGAGGGGGUGGUGUCCCAGCACAGGGCUCCGCUCGGGAGCUCCUGGUGUGCAGGGAUUCCCUGUCCCGUCGCAGCCACAUGCAAAGCCGAAGUGCAGGACGAGCUCCAGGGACAGCACCUCGCCUUCCUCCUCCUCCUCCUCCUCAUACCCCACCCUGCCCACCCAAGGAUUUGCACCCUGACCUCUUACCAGUGUGCUUCCUUCACCCGCCAUGGCGACGUGGAGAGAAACCAAAUGGCCGGUGCUGUAGCGUAGUAGGCUAAGACUCUGCUUCCGGUGCCAGCAUCCCAUAUGGGCACAGGUUCGAGUCUCAGCAGCUCCACAUCCGAUCCAGCUCUCUGCUAUGGCCUGGGAAAGCAGUGGAAGAUGGCCCAAGUGCUUGGGCCCCUGCACCUGCGUGGGAGACCCGGGAGAAACUCCUGGCUCCUGGCUUUGGAUCUGCCCAGCUCCAGUCAUUGCAACCAUUUGGGGAGUGAACCAGCAGAUGGAAGACCUCUCUCUGUCUCUCCCUGUUUCUAUCUGUGGCUCUGCCUCUCAAAUAAAUGAAUAAAAUCUUAAAAAAAAUAUUCUUUA